Rosa chinensis is the source of this 710-nucleotide RNA transcript. It is a transcript of the gene named NADPH--cytochrome P450 reductase 2-like, with no coding region annotated. NCBI's taxonomy places the organism in Eukaryota, Viridiplantae, Streptophyta, Magnoliopsida, Rosales, Rosaceae. The transcript has 7 exons. The record is from RefSeq and is a predicted model, not a curated record.
UUAUAGUAUCUGCAAGAGCUUUAUCUGAGACAAAUGCAGCUACAUGAAGUCCCAACAGAUAUCUUGAGUUUGCAGCAACUACGGAUCCUAAACCUCAUCCAAAAUUCCAUGCAGUCGGUUCCAGUGGUUAUAUUCAACGUUGAUGGAGGAGAGGGUGGUUUUGAAAUGGAGGAAGAAUGAGGAUGUUCUGUGGUUUGGGUUGUCACUGUUUCUGCGUUUUCCUCUUGCUUCGUCAUUGAACGAUGAAGAAACUUGCAGGGGAAUAAACUAACUGGUCAAAUCCGGGAUGAGAUUGGCAACUGUGCUUCUCUUAUUUAUCUGAUGGCACCAUCUAGAAUUCAUGUUACUUGUGCACUAGUUUGUGACAAAACAUCAACAGGAAGGAUUCACAAAGGCGUGUGUUCAACAUGGAUGAAGUGAUGGUUGUAGUUGGGCAGCCAUUUUUGUUCGGCAAUCAAACUUCAGACUUCCCGUUGAUACUAAAGUACCCAUUAUCAUGAUUGGUCCUGGAACUGGAUUUGCUCCUUUCAGGGAUUUCUUGCAGGACUACAAUUACGAAGAUGAGCUGAACAACUUCGUAGAAAAAGGUGCACUUUCUGAGCUUGUGGUUGCAUUCUCCUGCCAGGGACCCACCAAGGAAUAUGUGCAACAUAAAAUGAUGCAGAAGGUUUGACACCUACUUAAGUCUCUAUUUUCAACCUCUGCCUACA